Molecule: transfer RNA, 63 nt
Filed under: Trichogramma cacaeciae
Lineage: Eukaryota; Metazoa; Arthropoda; Insecta; Hymenoptera; Trichogrammatidae
Description: tRNA-Ala
Source: RNAcentral
AGGAAUAUAGUUAAAUUUAUAAUAUUUAUUUUGCUAAUAAAAGUUAUUUUAUAAUUAUUCUUA